CUUACCAUGCAAGUCGAACGGUGAAGCCCAGCUUGCUGGGUGGAUCAGUGGCGAACGGGUGAGUAACACGUGAGCAAUCUGCCCCUGACUCUGGGAUAAGCGCUGGAAACGGCGUCUAAUACUGGAUACGAACCGUGGAGGCAUCUUCAACGGUUGGAAAGAUUUUUUGGUCAGGGAUGAGCUCGCGGCCUAUCAGCUUGUUGGUGAGGUAAUGGCUCACCAAGGCGUCGACGGGUAGCCGGCCUGAGAGGGUGACCGGCCACACUGGGACUGAGACACGGCCCAGACUCCUACGGGAGGCAGCAGUGGGGAAUAUUGCACAAUGGGCGAAAGCCUGAUGCAGCAACGCCGCGUGAGGGAUGACGGCCUUCGGGUUGUAAACCUCUUUUAGCAGGGAAGAAGCGUGAGUGACGGUACCUGCAGAAAAAGCGCCGGCUAACUACGUGCCAGCAGCCGCGGUAAUACGUAGGGCGCAAGCGUUAUCCGGAAUUAUUGGGCGUAAAGAGCUCGUAGGCGGUUUGUCGCGUCUGCUGUGAAAUCCCGAGGCUCAACCUCGGGUCUGCAGUGGGUACGGGCAGACUAGAGUGCGGUAGGGGAGAUUGGAAUUCCUGGUGUAGCGGUGGAAUGCGCAGAUAUCAGGAGGAACACCGAUGGCGAAGGCAGAUCUCUGGGCCGUAACUGACGCUGAGGAGCGAAAGGGUGGGGAGCAAACAGGCUUAGAUACCCUGGUAGUCCACCCCGUAAACGUUGGGAACUAGUUGUGGGGUCCAUUCCACGGAUUCCGUGACGCAGCUAACGCAUUAAGUUCCCCGCCUGGGGAGUACGGCCGCAAGGCUAAAACUCAAAGGAAUUGACGGGGACCCGCACAAGCGGCGGAGCAUGCGGAUUAAUUCGAUGCAACGCGAAGAACCUUACCAAGGCUUGACAUAUACGAGAACGCUGCAGAAAUGUAGAACUCUUUGGACACUCGUAAACAGGUGGUGCAUGGUUGUCGUCAGCUCGUGUCGUGAGAUGUUGGGUUAAGUCCCGCAACGAGCGCAACCCUCGUUCUAUGUUGCCAGCACGUAAUGGUGGGAACUCAUGGGAUACUGCCGGGGUCAACUCGGAGGAAGGUGGGGAUGACGUCAAAUCAUCAUGCCCCUUAUGUCUUGGGCUUCACGCAUGCUACAAUGGCCGGUACAAAGGGCUGCAAUACCGUAAGGUGGAGCGAAUCCCAAAAAGCCGGUCCCAGUUCGGAUUGAGGUCUGCAACUCGACCUCAUGAAGUCGGAGUCGCUAGUAAUCGCAGAUCAGCAACGCUGCGGUGAAUACGUUCCCGGGUCUUGUACACACCGCCCGUCAAGUCAUGAAAGUCGGUAACACCUGAAGCCGGUGGCCCAACCCUUGUGGAGGGAGCCGUCGAAGGUGA
Molecule: ribosomal RNA, 1407 nt
Filed under: Microbacterium sp.
Lineage: Bacteria; Bacillati; Actinomycetota; Actinomycetes; Micrococcales; Microbacteriaceae
Description: bacterial SSU rRNA
Rfam family: Bacterial small subunit ribosomal RNA
Source: RNAcentral